Molecule: ribosomal RNA, 468 nt
Filed under: uncultured bacterium
Lineage: Bacteria
Description: partial 16S ribosomal RNA
Rfam family: Bacterial small subunit ribosomal RNA
Source: RNAcentral
GACGAACGCUGGCGGCGUGCUUAACACAUGCAAGUCGAACGGAAAGGCCCUGCUCUUGUUGGGUUCUCGUUUGCCGAACGGGUGUGUAUCACGUGUGUAUCCUCCCCCUGUCUUUGUGAUAACUUCUCGAAACUGCGGCUAUUACCGCAUAUGAUCUCUUGCUGCAUGGUGUUGGUUGGUAAGUUUCGGUGGUUGUGUAUGUUCUCGCUGGUUCUCAGCUUCUUUGUGGAGUAGUGGCUUACCAAGGUUUUGACGGGUAGCCUGCCUGGGAGGGUAGCCAGCCACAAUGGGACUGAGAUAGGGCGCAGAAUCCUACGGGAGGCAGCAGUGGAGAAUAUUGCAGAAUGGGGCGAAGCCAGAUGCAGAAGCGCAGGGUGCGUGAUGACGGCCUUCGGGUGGUAAACAGAUGUGGAAUGAGACGAAGAGGGAGUGACGGUAAUGAGUAAAGAAGCAACGGCUAACUACGUG